GCCGGGCGCGGUGGCCCGUGCCUGUAUUGCCAGCUACUUGGGAGGCUGAGGUGUGAGGAUCGCGUGAGCCCGAGUUCUGGGCUGUAGUGCGCUAUGCCGAUCGGAUGUCCGCACUAAGUUCGGCAUCAAUAUGGUGACCUCCCGGGAACGGGGGACCACCAGGUUGCCUAAGGAGGAGUGAACCGGCCCAGGUCGGAAACAGAGCUGGUCAAAACAAAAACUCCCGUGCUGAUCAGUAGUGGGAUUGUGCCUGUGAAUAGUCACUGCACUCCAGCCUGAGCAACAUAGCGAGACUCCGUCUCU
RNAcentral lists this signal recognition particle RNA (303 nucleotides) under Saimiri boliviensis boliviensis (Bolivian squirrel monkey). Its description in RNAcentral is "Metazoan signal recognition particle RNA (ENSSBOG00000004514.1)". It matches the Rfam family "Metazoan signal recognition particle RNA". From Rfam's summary of the family: The signal recognition particle (SRP) is a universally conserved ribonucleoprotein. Lineage: Eukaryota; Metazoa; Chordata; Mammalia; Primates; Cebidae. The record is from RNAcentral.